GGAGGGAUGCCCGAGUGGUUAAAGGGGACGGACUGUAAAUCCGUUGGCUAUGCCUACGCUGGUUCAAAUCCAGCUCCCUCCACCA
This 85-nucleotide transfer RNA is filed under the name Mycoplana ramosa. RNAcentral's name for it is "tRNA-Tyr". It matches the Rfam family "tRNA". From Rfam's summary of the family: Transfer RNA (tRNA) molecules are approximately 80 nucleotides in length. Their secondary structure includes four short double-helical elements and three loops (D, anti-codon, and T loops). Lineage: Bacteria; Pseudomonadati; Pseudomonadota; Alphaproteobacteria; Hyphomicrobiales; Rhizobiaceae. The record is from RNAcentral. RNAcentral also lists the same sequence under 3 other names.